This 2864-nucleotide ribosomal RNA is filed under the name Romboutsia sp. MT17. RNAcentral describes it as "bacterial LSU rRNA". The stretch from base 1027 to 2864 matches the Rfam family "Bacterial large subunit ribosomal RNA". Lineage: Bacteria; Bacillati; Bacillota; Clostridia; Peptostreptococcales; Peptostreptococcaceae. The record is from RNAcentral.
UAUUAUGGAAAAAUUAAAUAUAAUUAUGCUAUUUCUUACAGGAGGAAGUAAUAUGGACAAUAUAAGAGAAACUAGAUAUAAAAGAGAAGAUGGAACAUAUGAUAUAUCUUUAGAAGUUAAAGAUUCUGCAUACUUUAAUGUAUUUGAUAACGCAGACACAACAUCAGGUAAAGAAUUUCUAAGAGAUUAUUUAAAAAGUAAUGCAGAUGAUGCUAGAUAUGAGGAUAUUUCUGUAAAUCAUAAUAAGGGUAGACGUAUAGUAAGCAUAAAAGCUAAACUAGAUUAUGAAGGUAAUAUGCACACAUCAUAUGAUAACAGAAGAAAAUUAUAUUAAAUAAAAAAUAAUAUACAUAUUGUACUAGUUAAAAUUAAUUAUAAAAAUAAAGAUAAGAAAAAAUUAACUAGUACAAUAUAUUUAAAACUAAGUGAAUAUAAGUAAUUUAUUGAUAUUAAUAUUAAAUAAUAAAUAUAAAAAUAAAAAAGUUUAUAAAAAGUAUUGACGAUAUAAAAUUAUGGUGAUAUAGUAUUACUUGUCCUUAAGAAAAGGGCAAAGCAAAAAAGUAAGCGCCGACACAGUCGCUUAAAAUGAACUUUGAAAAUUAAACAGUAGGUUAAUUUAUAUAACUGAUUCUUAAAGAAUCGAAAACAAACCAAGCCAGAUAUUCAGAUAAUGAUAGUCUGAGCAGGAAAACUUAUAUUUGAGCAACAGAAUAAGUUGAGUGAAUACGAAACUUGUUUGUUGGCGAUAUAAAUUCAAAUUUAUUUUGAGAGUUUGAUCCUGGCUCAGGAUGAACGCUGGCGGCGUGCCUAACACAUGCAAGUCGAGCGAUUUACUUUUAGUAAAGAGCGGCGGACGGGUGAGUAACGCGUGGGUAACCUGCCCUGUACACACGGAUAACAUACCGAAAGGUAUGCUAAUACGAGAUAACAUGAGAAAGUCGCAUGGCUUUCUUAUCAAAGCUUUNAGGUAGUCAAGAUAGGCAAAUCCGUCUUGAUAAUGCUAGGGUACGAUGGGGAGCCCUUUUGGGCGAAGUAGCUGAUUUCACACUGUCGAGAAAAGUCUCUACCGAGGUUAAAGGUGCCCGUACCGUAAACCGACACAGGUGGGUGAGGAGAGUAUCCUAAGGCCAGCGAGAGAACUAUUGUUAAGGAACUCGGCAAAAUGACCCCGUANAUGAUGGGUAGGGGAGCUUCGUAUGCAGGCUGAAGCAUGACCGUAAGGACAUGUGGACAGUAUACGAGUGAGAAUGUUGGCAUGAGUAGCGAGACGUGGGUGAGAAUCCCACGGGCCGUAAACCCAAGGUUUCCAGGGGAAGGUUCGUCCGCCCUGGGUUAGUCGGGACCUAAGCCGAGGCCGAAAGGCGUAGGUGAUGGACAACAGGUUGAUAUUCCUGUACCACCAAUAACCGUUUGAGGAAUGGGAUGACACAGUAGGAUAAGCUAACCACACUGUUGGUUAUGUGUGGCUAAGUACUGAGGCAGUCAAGAUAGGCAAAUCCGUCUUGAUAAUGCUAGGGUACGAUGGGGAGCCCUUUUGGGCGAAGUAGCUGAUUUCACACUGUCGAGAAAAGUCUCUACCGAGGUUAAAGGUGCCCGUACCGUAAACCGACACAGGUGGGUGAGGAGAGUAUCCUAAGGCCAGCGAGAGAACUAUUGUUAAGGAACUCGGCAAAAUGACCCCGUAACUUAGGGAUAAGGGGUGCCAUCCUUUGGAUGGCCGCAGAGAAUAGGCCCAAGCGACUGUUUACCAAAAACACAGGUUUCUGCUAAGUCGCAAGACGAUGUAUAGGAGCUGACGCCUGCCCGGUGCUGGAAGGUUAAGGGGAUCUGUUAGGAGUAAUCCGAAGCAGUGAACUUAAGCCCCAGUAAACGGCGGCCGUAACUAUAACGGUCCUAAGGUAGCGAAAUUCCUUGUCGGGUAAGUUCCGACCCGCACGAAAGGCGUAACGAUUUGGGCACUGUCUCAACAAUAGACUCGGUGAAAUUGUAAUCCCGGUGAAGAUGCCGGGUACCUGCGACAGGACGGAAAGACCCCAUGGAGCUUUACUGUAGCUUGACGUUGGGUCUUGGUACUACAUGUACAGGAUAGGUGGGAGACUAUGAAGCAUGGACGCCAGUCUGUGUGGAGUCAUCCUUGGGAUACCACCCUUGUAGUACUGGGAUCCUAACCAGAGGCCUUGAAUCAGGUCUUGGGACACCGUCAGGUGGGCAGUUUGACUGGGGCGGUCGCCUCCCAAAAAGUAACGGAGGCGCUCAAAGGUUUCCUCAGCACGGUCGGAAAUCGUGCGAAGAGUGUAAAGGCAAAAGGAAGCUUGAUUGCAAGACAUACAGGUCGAGCAAGGACGAAAGUCGGACUUAGUGAUCCGGUGGUUCCGCAUGGAAGGGCCAUCGCUCAACGGAUAAAAGCUACCCUGGGGAUAACAGGCUUAUCUCCCCCAAGAGUCCACAUCGACGGGGAGGUUUGGCACCUCGAUGUCGGCUCAUCACAUCCUGGGGCUGUAGUAGGUCCCAAGGGUUGGGCUGUUCGCCCAUUAAAGUGGUACGCGAGCUGGGUUCAGAACGUCGUGAGACAGUUCGGUCCCUAUCCGUCGCAGGCGUAGGAAAUUUGAGGAGACCUGUCCUUAGUACGAGAGGACCGGGAUGGACGUACCUCUGGUGUACCAGUUGUUCUGCCAAGGGCAUGGCUGGGUAGCUAUGUACGGAAUGGAUAAGCGCUGAAAGCAUCUAAGCGCGAAGCCAACUUCAAGAUAAGAUUUCCCACCGUAAGGGUAAGACCCCAGGAAGACUACCUGGUUGAUAGGUCGAAGGUGUAAGUGCAGUAAUGUAUUUAGCUUAUCGAUACUAAUAGGUCGAGGACUUGACCU